UACGUAGGUGGCGAGCGUUGUCCGGAUUUACUGGGCGUAAAGAGCGCGCAGGCGGCUGGUCAAGUCCGAUGUGAAAGCUCCCGGCUUAACUGGGAAAUUGCAUCGGAAACUGAUCGGCUGGAAGGUGGGAGAGGGUAGUGGAAUUCCCAGUGUAGUGGUGAAAUACGUAGAGAUUGGGAAGAACACCAGUGGCGAAGGCGGCUAUCUGGACGGUUUCUGACGCUAAGACGCGAAAGCGUGGGGAGCAAACAGG
Molecule: ribosomal RNA, 253 nt
Filed under: uncultured bacterium
Lineage: Bacteria
Description: partial 16S ribosomal RNA
Rfam family: Bacterial small subunit ribosomal RNA
Source: RNAcentral